RNAcentral lists this ribosomal RNA (2925 nucleotides) under Escherichia coli. Its description in RNAcentral is "bacterial LSU rRNA". It matches the Rfam family "Bacterial large subunit ribosomal RNA". Lineage: Bacteria; Pseudomonadati; Pseudomonadota; Gammaproteobacteria; Enterobacterales; Enterobacteriaceae. The record is from RNAcentral.
GGGUUGUGAGGUUAAGCGACUAAGCGUACACGGUGGAUGCCCUGGCAGUCAGAGGCGAUGAAGGACGUGCUAAUCUGCGAUAAGCGUCGGUAAGGUGAUAUGAACCGUUAUAACCGGCGAUUUCCGAAUGGGGAAACCCAGUGUGUUUCGACACACUAUCAUUAACUGAAUCCAUAGGUUAAUGAGGCGAACCGGGGGAACUGAAACAUCUAAGUACCCCGAGGAAAAGAAAUCAACCGAGAUUCCCCCAGUAGCGGCGAGCGAACGGGGAGCAGCCCAGAGCCUGAAUCAGUGUGUGUGUUAGUGGAAGCGUCUGGAAAGGCGCGCGAUACAGGGUGACAGCCCCGUACACAAAAAUGCACAUGCUGUGAGCUCGAUGAGUAGGGCGGGACACGUGGUAUCCUGUCUGAAUAUGGGGGGACCAUCCUCCAAGGCUAAAUACUCCUGACUGACCGAUAGUGAACCAGUACCGUGAGGGAAAGGCGAAAAGAACCCCGGCGAGGGGAGUGAAAAAGAACCUGAAACCGUGUACGUACAAGCAGUGGGAGCACGCUUAGGCGUGUGACUGCGUACCUUUUGUAUAAUGGGUCAGCGACUUAUAUUCUGUAGCAAGGUUAACCGAAUAGGGGAGCCGAAGGGAAACCGAGUCUUAACUGGGCGUUAAGUUGCAGGGUAUAGACCCGAAACCCGGUGAUCUAGCCAUGGGCAGGUUGAAGGUUGGGUAACACUAACUGGAGGACCGAACCGACUAAUGUUGAAAAAUUAGCGGAUGACUUGUGGCUGGGGGUGAAAGGCCAAUCAAACCGGGAGAUAGCUGGUUCUCCCCGAAAGCUAUUUAGGUAGCGCCUCGUGAAUUCAUCUCCGGGGGUAGAGCACUGUUUCGGCAAGGGGGUCAUCCCGACUUACCAACCCGAUGCAAACUGCGAAUACCGGAGAAUGUUAUCACGGGAGACACACGGCGGGUGCUAACGUCCGUCGUGAAGAGGGAAACAACCCAGACCGCCAGCUAAGGUCCCAAAGUCAUGGUUAAGUGGGAAACGAUGUGGGAAGGCCCAGACAGCCAGGAUGUUGGCUUAGAAGCAGCCAUCAUUUAAAGAAAGCGUAAUAGCUCACUGGUCGAGUCGGCCUGCGCGGAAGAUGUAACGGGGCUAAACCAUGCACCGAAGCUGCGGCAGCGACGCUUAUGCGUUGUUGGGUAGGGGAGCGUUCUGUAAGCCUGCGAAGGUGUGCUGUGAGGCAUGCUGGAGGUAUCAGAAGUGCGAAUGCUGACAUAAGUAACGAUAAAGCGGGUGAAAAGCCCGCUCGCCGGAAGACCAAGGGUUCCUGUCCAACGUUAAUCGGGGCAGGGUGAGUCGACCCCUAAGGCGAGGCCGAAAGGCGUAGUCGAUGGGAAACAGGUUAAUAUUCCUGUACUUGGUGUUACUGCGAAGGGGGGACGGAGAAGGCUAUGUUGGCCGGGCGACGGUUGUCCCGGUUUAAGCGUGUAGGCUGGUUUUCCAGGCAAAUCCGGAAAAUCAAGGCUGAGGCGUGAUGACGAGGCACUACGGUGCUGAAGCAACAAAUGCCCUGCUUCCAGGAAAAGCCUCUAAGCAUCAGGUAACAUCAAAUCGUACCCCAAACCGACACAGGUGGUCAGGUAGAGAAUACCAAGGCGCUUGAGAGAACUCGGGUGAAGGAACUAGGCAAAAUGGUGCCGUAACUUCGGGAGAAGGCACGCUGAUAUGUAGGUGAAGCGACUUGCUCGUGGAGCUGAAAUCAGUCGAAGAUACCAGCUGGCUGCAACUGUUUAUUAAAAACACAGCACUGUGCAAACACGAAAGUGGACGUAUACGGUGUGACGCCUGCCCGGUGCCGGAAGGUUAAUUGAUGGGGUUAGCGCAAGCGAAGCUCUUGAUCGAAGCCCCGGUAAACGGCGGCCGUAACUAUAACGGUCCUAAGGUAGCGAAAUUCCUUGUCGGGUAAGUUCCGACCUGCACGAAUGGCGUAAUGAUGGCCAGGCUGUCUCCACCCGAGACUCAGUGAAAUUGAACUCGCUGUGAAGAUGCAGUGUACCCGCGGCAAGACGGAAAGACCCCGUGAACCUUUACUAUAGCUUGACACUGAACAUUGAGCCUUGAUGUGUAGGAUAGGUGGGAGGCUUUGAAGUGUGGACGCCAGUCUGCAUGGAGCCGACCUUGAAAUACCACCCUUUAAUGUUUGAUGUUCUAACGUGGACCCGUAAUCCGGGUUGCGGACAGUGUCUGGUGGGUAGUUUGACUGGGGCGGUCUCCUCCUAAAGAGUAACGGAGGAGCACGAAGGUUGGCUAAUCCUGGUCGGACAUCAGGAGGUUAGUGCAAUGGCAUAAGCCAGCUUGACUGCGAGCGUGACGGCGCGAGCAGGUGCGAAAGCAGGUCAUAGUGAUCCGGUGGUUCUGAAUGGAAGGGCCAUCGCUCAACGGAUAAAAGGUACUCCGGGGAUAACAGGCUGAUACCGCCCAAGAGUUCAUAUCGACGGCGGUGUUUGGCACCUCGAUGUCGGCUCAUCACAUCCUGGGGCUGAAGUAGGUCCCAAGGGUAUGGCUGUUCGCCAUUUAAAGUGGUACGCGAGCUGGGUUUAGAACGUCGUGAGACAGUUCGGUCCCUAUCUGCCGUGGGCGCUGGAGAACUGAGGGGGGCUGCUCCUAGUACGAGAGGACCGGAGUGGACGCAUCACUGGUGUUCGGGUUGUCAUGCCAAUGGCACUGCCCGGUAGCUAAAUGCGGAAGAGAUAAGUGCUGAAAGCAUCUAAGCACGAAACUUGCCCCGAGAUGAGUUCUCCCUGACUCCUUGAGAGUCCUGAAGGAACGUUGAAGACGACGACGUUGAUAGGCCGGGUGUGUAAGCGCAGCGAUGCGUUGAGCUAACCGGUACUAAUGAACCGUGAGGCUUAACCUUACAACGCCGAAG